CAGUAGCCGCGGUAAUACGUAGGUGGUAAGCGUUGUCCGGAAUUAUUGGGCGUAAAGGGCUCGCAGGCGGUUUCUUAAGUCUGAUGUGAAAGCCCCCGGCUCAACCGGGGAGGGUCAUUGGAAACUGGGAAACUUGAGUGCAGAAGAGGAGAGUGGAAUUCCACGUGUAGCGGUGAAAUGCGUAGAGAUGUGGAGGAACACCAGUGGCGAAGGCGACUCUCUGGUCUGUAACUGACGCUGAGGAGCGAAAGCGUGGGGAGCGAACAGGAUUAGAUACCCGUGUAGUCCCUGUCUCUUAUAA
This 301-nucleotide ribosomal RNA is filed under the name uncultured bacterium. RNAcentral's name for it is "partial 16S ribosomal RNA". It matches the Rfam family "Bacterial small subunit ribosomal RNA", at positions 509 to 809 of the family's 1533-position model. The record is from RNAcentral.